UCUCUCUCUCCCCUCUCUCUCCAGGUGUUCUCCCUCCCUAAGGUGAGCGCUAAGACCAAGUUCAAGCUGACGGCUCAUGAGGGCUGCCGGGUGAGGAAGGUGGCGCUGGUGGUGUUCGGCUCCACGGCUCAGGAGGACUACAGCGAGCACACUCUGGUGUGUCUGACCAACCUGGGAGACAUGCACCUGUUCACCAUCCCCGGCCUGCGACCUCAGGUGCGCCACGACUGCAUCCGUAAAGAAGACAUCAGCGGCAUUGCAUCCUGUGUCUUUACCAAGAACGGACAGGGGUUCUACCUGGUCUCCCCCUCAGAGUACGAGAGGUUCUCCCUGUCGGCUAAAGUCGUCACAGAAGCGCUCUGCUCUGUUCAGCUGGACCGACCGCUGGAGCACACACCUGC
Molecule: long non-coding RNA, 401 nt
Organism: Notothenia coriiceps (black rockcod)
Lineage: Eukaryota; Metazoa; Chordata; Actinopteri; Perciformes; Nototheniidae
Exons: 3
Source: RefSeq, a predicted model, not a curated record